UACGUAGGGUGCGAGCGUUGUCCGGAAUUACUGGGCGUAAAGAGCUCGUAGGCGGUGUGUCGCGUCGGCCGUGAAAACUCGGGGCUUAACCCCGGGCCUGCAGUGGGUACGGGCAGACUAGAGUGCGGUAGGGGAGACUGGAAUUCCAGGUGUAGCGGUGAAAUGCGUAGAUAUCUGGAGGAACACCGGUGGCGAAAGCGGCCCACUGGACCUUCUCUGACGCUGAGGUGCGAAAGCUAGGGUAGCAAACGGG
This 253-nucleotide ribosomal RNA is filed under the name uncultured bacterium. RNAcentral's name for it is "partial 16S ribosomal RNA". It matches the Rfam family "Bacterial small subunit ribosomal RNA", at positions 524 to 776 of the family's 1533-position model. The record is from RNAcentral.